RNAcentral lists this ribosomal RNA (504 nucleotides) under uncultured bacterium. RNAcentral describes it as "bacterial SSU rRNA". It matches the Rfam family "Bacterial small subunit ribosomal RNA", at positions 28 to 526 of the family's 1533-position model. The record is from RNAcentral.
GAUGAACGCUAGCGGCAGGCCUAACACAUGCAAGUCGAGGGGCAGCGAGAGGUAGCAAUACUUUGUCGGCGACCGGCGCACGGGUGCGUAACGCGUAUGCAACCUACCUAUAACAGGGGGAUAAUCGAGAGAAAUCUUGUCUAAUACCCCGUAACACUUAGAAAGGCAUCUUUUUAAGUUGAAAGAUUUAUUGGUUAUAGAUGGGCAUGCGUGACAUUAGCUAGAUGGUGAGGUAACGGCUCACCAUGGCUACGAUGUCUAGGGGAACUGAGAGGUUUAUCCCCCACACUGGUACUGAGACACGGACCAGACUCCUACGGGAGGCAGCAGUGAGGAAUAUUGGUCAAUGGACGCAAGUCUGAACCAGCCAUGCCGCGUGCAGGAAGACGGCUCUAUGAGUUGUAAACUGCUUUUGUAAAGGGGUAAAAAGAUUCACGAGUGGAUCAUUGAAAGUACUUUACGAAUAAGGAUCGGCUAACUCCGUGCCAGCAGCCGCGGUAAUAC